RNAcentral lists this ribosomal RNA (591 nucleotides) under Brycinus kingsleyae. Its description in RNAcentral is "partial 16S large subunit ribosomal RNA". It matches the Rfam family "Bacterial large subunit ribosomal RNA", at positions 1809 to 2609 of the family's 2925-position model. The record is from RNAcentral. Lineage: Eukaryota; Metazoa; Chordata; Actinopteri; Characiformes; Alestidae.
AAAAACAUCGCCUCCUGCAAACUACAACGUAUAGGAGGUCUUACCUGCCCAGUGACAUAGUGUUAAACGGCCGCGGUAUUUUGACCGUGCUAAGGUAGCGCAAUCACUUGUUUUUUAAAUGAAGACCUGUAUGAAUGGUGAAACGAGGGCUUAACUGUCUCCCCUUUCUAGUCAAUGAAACUGAUCUGCUCGUGCAGAAGCGAGCAUAAAUAUACAAGACGAGAAGACCCUUUGGAGCUUUAGACAUAAAUCAACUGUGCUUAACCCCAAGUAAAAUGGGAUAAAACCAAACAUACACUGACCAAAGUCUUCGGUUGGGGCGACCAUGGGGAAAAACAAAACCCCCACGUGGAAUGGACCAUUCCCUAAACUAAGAGAGACAUCUCUAAGUCACAGAACAUCUGACCAUUUAGAUCCGGCCAACAAGCCGAUCAACGGACCAAGUUACCCUAGGGAUAACAGCGCAAUCCCCUUCAAGAGUCCAUAUCGACAAGGGGGUUUACGACCUCGAUGUUGGAUCAGGACAUCCUAAUGGCGCAGCCGCUAUUAAGGGUUCGUUUGUUCAACGAUUAAAGUCCUACGUGAUCUGAG